GAGACUCUGUGCGCGUGCAUAUCAAUAAGCGGAGGAAAAGAAACUAACAAGGAUUCCCUUAGUAACGGCGAGUGAAGCGGGAAGAGCUCAAAUUUGAAAUCUUCAAGGGUUCUACCUUACGAAUUGUAGUUUAUAGAAGUGUUUUCUGUUAGUAGAGUUCGGCUAAAAGUUCUUUGGAAUAGGACAUCAUAGAGGGUGAGAAUCCCGUAUUUGGUCAUUCUUUCUAGCUGUGUGAUACACUUUCAACGAGUCGGAUUGUUUGGGAAUGCAGUCCAAGAUGGGUGGUAAAUUUCAUCUAAAGCUAAAUAUUGGCGAGAGACCGAUAGCGAACAAGUACCGUGAGGGAAAGAUGAAAAGAACUUUGAAAAGAGAGUUAAACAGUACGUGAAAUUGUCAAAAGGGAAGCGUUUGACACCAGUGUUGUUUAGUUGAAAAUCAAUUCAAUAGUUUUUGAUUCUAAGUAGUAUUGACUUCAUCAGCUUGCUGCUUUCUUCUCAGAAAUUAUUGAAUGCACUUUUCAGUUAACAAGUCAACAUCAAUUUCUUUUGUUGUAAAAGGGUAAGAGGAAGGUGGCUUACGCUUCGGCGUAAGUGUUUAUAGCCCUUUACCUCUGCAAUCGGAGAGAUUGAGGACAGCAGCGUAGACUCUUCGGGGUUAGAUACACUUGUGCUAAGCUAUAGCCUUGUAUAGACAACUUGUUGACUAUGCUCAGUCAUGUAGCUUACUCGCUUGUGCUAUUUUACCUACGCUUAGGAUGUUGACAGCAGUAUAGACUGU
RNAcentral lists this ribosomal RNA (777 nucleotides) under uncultured Neocallimastigales. Its description in RNAcentral is "partial large subunit ribosomal RNA". It matches the Rfam family "Eukaryotic large subunit ribosomal RNA", at positions 23 to 638 of the family's 3401-position model. The record is from RNAcentral. Lineage: Eukaryota; Fungi; Neocallimastigomycota; Neocallimastigomycetes; Neocallimastigales.